Molecule: ribosomal RNA, 407 nt
Filed under: uncultured bacterium
Lineage: Bacteria
Description: partial 16S ribosomal RNA
Rfam family: Bacterial small subunit ribosomal RNA
Source: RNAcentral
GACGAACGCUGGCGGCGUGCCUAAUACAUGCAAGUAGAACGCAGUUGCGAACGGGUGAGUAACGCGUAGGUAACUGCCUCAUCGCGGGGGAUAACUAUUGGAAACGAUAGCUAAUACCGCAUCCUGUGAGAUUGACCUGCGUUUUAUUAGCUAGUUGGUGCGGUAAAGGUUCACCAAGGCGACGAUACAUAGCCGACCUGAGAGGGUGAUCGGCAACACGGGGACUGUGAACCGGCUCAGACUCCUACGGGAGGCAGCAGUAGGGAAUCUUCGGCAAUGGACGGAAGUCUGACCGAGCAACGCCGCGUGAGUGAAGAAGGUUUUCGGAUCGUAAAGCUCUGUUGUGAGAGAUGCGGUAACUAACCAGAAAGGGACGGCUAACUACGUGCCAGCCGCCGCGGUAAUUC